This 253-nucleotide ribosomal RNA is filed under the name uncultured bacterium. RNAcentral describes it as "partial 16S ribosomal RNA". It matches the Rfam family "Bacterial small subunit ribosomal RNA", at positions 524 to 776 of the family's 1533-position model. The record is from RNAcentral.
UCCGUAGGUGGCAAUCGUUGUCCGGAAUUACUGGGUGUAAAGGGCGUGUAGGCGGGACUGCAAGUCAGAUGUGAAAGUCCCAGGCUCAACCUGGGGGCUGCAUCUGAAACUGUGGUUCUUGAGUGCUGGAGAGGAAAGCGGAAUUCCUAGUGUAGCGGUGAAAUGCGUAGAUAUUAGGAGGAACACCAGUGGCGAAGGCGGCUUUCUGGACAGUAACUGACGCUGAGGCGCGAAAGCGUGGGUAGAGAACAGG